CUCCUCUCAGGGUCGCAUCUGGAGAGUUUCCAGUCCUCUGCCAGUCUCAGCUACAGAAGGGAGAAUCAAGCAGAGGAAUAUCCGUUCCAUUCCCAGCUUGGGCAGUGGCUAGUGAGUGGAAGGCAACCUGCUACAAGU
This is a non-coding RNA of Ornithorhynchus anatinus (platypus), 138 nucleotides long. Lineage: Eukaryota; Metazoa; Chordata; Mammalia; Monotremata; Ornithorhynchidae. The record is from Rfam.